CUUGCUUAGCCGCUCUCAGAGGCGCUGCCGGACGCGGGCAGGACAGAACGUCACACGGGUUCAUCUACUUUUGCAACAAUGAGAGCGCAGACGGCCACGAAGGAAAAUCCCCACAGGAGGAUGUCAAGGCAUUAACAAAAAUCUCAGCUCUCCUCUGGUAAUUGGCAGAAGACAUCAACAGACAUUUCUUCAAAGAAGACAUACAGAUGGCCAACACUGAUUGACUUUUGAAUAUUGAACCAGCUUUGCAUUCUGGAAAUAAAUUGUCAUUGGUCAUGGUUCCACUGGUGAAGCCGUUUAACUCUGACCCGGGAAGGAGAGACAUAAAUUCACAACCAUGAGCGGGAGG
This is a long non-coding RNA of Mirounga angustirostris (Northern elephant seal), 349 nucleotides long. RefSeq lists it as uncharacterized. The transcript has 3 exons. NCBI's taxonomy places the organism in Eukaryota, Metazoa, Chordata, Mammalia, Carnivora, Phocidae. The record is from RefSeq and is a predicted model, not a curated record.